GCCCUGGUGGUGCAGUGGUUAAAUGUCUGUACUGCAGCCAUAAGGUUGAGGGUUCAAUACCAGCCAAGGGCU
This is a non-coding RNA of Phrynosoma platyrhinos (Desert horned lizard), 72 nucleotides long. The record is from the annotation of a GenBank genome assembly. NCBI's taxonomy places the organism in Eukaryota, Metazoa, Chordata, Lepidosauria, Squamata, Phrynosomatidae.